RNAcentral lists this ribosomal RNA (253 nucleotides) under uncultured bacterium. Its description in RNAcentral is "partial 16S ribosomal RNA". It matches the Rfam family "Bacterial small subunit ribosomal RNA", at positions 524 to 776 of the family's 1533-position model. The record is from RNAcentral.
UACGUAGGGUGCAAGCGUUGUCCGGAAUUAUUGGGCGUAAAGAGCUCGUAGGCGGUUUGUUGCGUCGGCUGUGAAAACCUGAGGCUCAACCUCAGGCCUGCAGUCGAUACGAGCAGACUAGAGUGUUGCAGGGGAGACUGGAAUUCCUGGUGUAGCGGUGAAAUGCACAGAUAUCGAGAGGAACACCUGCGGCGAAGGCGGGUUGCUGGGCUGAUACUGACGCUGAGGCGCGAAAGCCAGGGGAGCGAACGGG